ACCGGAAAAUUUUCCAGUAACACACCGCUAAAGAUGAAAUCGGGACAAUGCGUUGCUCCUUUAAUCCACGGAAGGCAGAUGCAGGUAAAAAGCGGAUCGACGUUCAUUUGUCACGAUGGAUGGCGCGGUUUUUGUCUCUUCGAUACGUUGGACAGUGAAAUCCAUAUUAUGUCUUGAGGCAUCUCCUUCGUUGUGUACACAUGGGAAACGUAUCGAAAAGCUUGCAGUGAAAAACAGUGGAUGACAAAUGUUUUGGACUCCCGACUGGGCGCCCUCCCGGAGCCUCAAACUGUGGACAAACGGUCGCGCGGUCCCCUGCCGGAUCAGAGGGCCUGGACCCCCACGGGAACAAUGUUGCUCCUCGCCAACGCUCUAUGAACCCUCCUCUUCUCACCUGAAUGGACCGCUGACGUUGCACCUCCCCACACUGAUGGACACGCGCAAUUACGCACAUCUGCGUCGUGGUUUCCACAAAGACGCGGUUUUCACUAAGGGCUCAGGCCACGAGAUCAUCCUAACAAUCAUUUUUUAUGCUAAUUCAUUGUUAAUAUAUAAUGUACUAAUUAUAGUUGCACUGAUUGUGUAUAAAACGUAUAAAAAAUAGACAUUAAAGUGUAAUCCAUACGUUUAAAAAGCUGAUUUUGAAUCUAAAAAUGUAAUAAA
Electrophorus electricus (electric eel) is the source of this 663-nucleotide long non-coding RNA. RefSeq lists it as uncharacterized. Lineage: Eukaryota; Metazoa; Chordata; Actinopteri; Gymnotiformes; Gymnotidae. The record is from RefSeq and is a predicted model, not a curated record.